RNAcentral lists this ribosomal RNA (442 nucleotides) under uncultured bacterium. RNAcentral describes it as "partial 16S ribosomal RNA". It matches the Rfam family "Bacterial small subunit ribosomal RNA", at positions 338 to 795 of the family's 1533-position model. The record is from RNAcentral.
CCUACGGGGGACAGCAGUGGGGAAUAUUGGUCAAUGGGCGCAAGCCUGACCCAGCAACGCCGCGUGAAGGAAGAAGGCUUUCGGGUUGUAAACUUCUUUUAAGGGGGAAGAGCAGAAGACGGUACCCCUUGAAUAAGCCACGUCUAACUACGUGACAGCAGCCGCGGUAAUACGUAGGUGGCAAGUGUUGUCCGGAUUUACUGGGUGUAAAGGGCGUGCAGCCGGAGAGACAAGUCAGAUGUGAAAUCCACGGGCUCAACCCGUGAACUGCAUUUGAAACUGUUUCCCUUGAGUGUCGGAGAGGUAAUCGGAAUUCCUUGUGUAGCGGUGAAAUGCGUAGAUAUAAGGAAGAACACCAGUGGCGAAGGCGGAUUACUGGACGAUAACUGACGGUGAGGCGCGAAAGCGUGGGGAGCAAACAGGAUUAGAUACCCGAGUAGUC